This 371-nucleotide long non-coding RNA is filed under the name Drosophila melanogaster (fruit fly). RNAcentral describes it as "long non-coding RNA:CR45248 (Dmel_CR45248)". Lineage: Eukaryota; Metazoa; Arthropoda; Insecta; Diptera; Drosophilidae. The record is from RNAcentral.
AUUCAGUCAUUUUUCUGGUGCUUAUUCAGUAGAAAAAGACACCCAGACGAGAGAAUAAACUACCGAAAAGCCAAACACCAUGACAUGGACACCAGGCGGAUUCUCGCAGUAGAAGCACCGCUGGUUCAAAUCGACUCAACUCCGCUCGGACUCCGACUUCAGCUCGAACUCCUCCAACUUCCUCCCCCAAAGACCCCGUUGUGCCCGGACUAACCUGCCAAAAACCCCGCCUCCUACAUCUCAAGUGUGUGGAGGAGAUCCAACCAUCGCAUUUUGUAACUCAUGUGCGACAUUAAGUGCUUUGGUUUUUUGACGACGUCGGCGGUGGAGAGUUGAAAAACAAAAGGAAAAACUGACCCGUAAGUCAUCAU